RNAcentral lists this ribosomal RNA (496 nucleotides) under uncultured bacterium. Its description in RNAcentral is "bacterial SSU rRNA". It matches the Rfam family "Bacterial small subunit ribosomal RNA", at positions 28 to 523 of the family's 1533-position model. The record is from RNAcentral.
GAUGAACGCUAGCGGCAGGCUUAACACAUGCAAGUCGAGGGGUAUAGUUCUUCGGAAUUAGAGACCGGCGCACGGGUGCGUAACGCGUAUGCAAUCUACCUUUCACAAAGGGAUAGCCCCAGAGAAAUUUGGAUUAAUACCUUAUAGUAAUACGACUUGGCAUCAAGAUGUAUUUAAAGAUUUAUCGGUGAAAGAUGAGCAUGCGUCCCAUUAGCUUGUUGGUAAGGUAACGGCUUACCAAGGCAACGAUGGGUAGGGGUCCUGAGAGGGAGAUCCCCCCACACUGGUACUGAGACAUGGACCAGACUCCUACGGGAGGCAGCAGUGAGGAAUAUUGGACAAUGGGCGCAAGCCUGAUCCAGCCAUGCCGCGUGCAGGAUGACGGUCCUAUGGAUUGUAAACUGCUUUUGUACAGGAAGAAACCCUUUNACGUGUGGAAGAUUGACGGUACUGUAAGAAUAAGGAUCGGCUAACUCCGUGCCAGCAGCCGCGGUAA